UGCGCAGGCGGUUGAGUAAGACAGAUGUGAAAUCCCCGAGCUUAACUCGGGAAUGGCAUAUGUGACUGCUCGACUAGAGUGUGUCAGAGGGAGGUGGAAUUCCACGUGUAGCAGUGAAAUGCGUAGAUGUGUGGAAGAACACCGAUGGCGAAGGCAGCCUCCUGGGACAUAACUGACGCUCAGGCACGAAAGCGUGGGGAGCAAACA
RNAcentral lists this ribosomal RNA (207 nucleotides) under uncultured bacterium. RNAcentral's name for it is "partial 16S ribosomal RNA". It matches the Rfam family "Bacterial small subunit ribosomal RNA", at positions 568 to 774 of the family's 1533-position model. The record is from RNAcentral.